RNAcentral lists this ribosomal RNA (425 nucleotides) under uncultured bacterium. RNAcentral's name for it is "partial 16S ribosomal RNA". It matches the Rfam family "Bacterial small subunit ribosomal RNA", at positions 354 to 796 of the family's 1533-position model. The record is from RNAcentral.
GUGGGGUAUAUUGGGCAAUGGGCGAAAGCCUGACCCAGCAACGCCGCGUGAAGGAAGAAGGUUUUCGGAUCGUAAACUUCUAUCCUUGGUGAAGAUAAUGACGGUAGCCAAGAAGGAAGCCCCGGCUAACUACGUGCCAGCAGCCGCGGUAAUACGUAGGGGGCAAGCGUUGUCCGGAAUGAUUGGGCGUAAAGGGCGCGUAGGCGGCCCGGUAAGUCUGAAGUAGAAGUCCUGCUUUUAAGGUGGGAAUUGCUUUGGAUACUGUCGGGCUUGAGUGCAGGAGAGGUAAGCGGAAUUCCCGGUGUAGCGGUGAAAUGCGUAGAGAUCGGGAGGAACACCAGUGGCGAAGGCGGCUUACUGGACUGUAACUGACGCUGAGGCGCGAAAGUGUGGGGAGCAAACAGGAUUAGAAACCCCAGUAGUCC